UACGAAGGGCGCAAGCGUUAAUCGGAAUUACUGGGCGUAAAGCGCGCGUAGGUGGUUCAGUAAGUUGAAGGUGAAAUCCCCGGGCUCAACCUGGGAACUGCCUCCAAAACUGCUGAGCUAGAGUAUGGUAGAGGGUAGUGGAAUUUCCUGUGUAGCGGUGAAAUGCGUAGAUAUAGGAAGGAACACCAGUGGCGAAGGCGACUACCUGGACUAAUACUGACACUGAGGUGCGAAAGCGUGGGGAGCAAACAGG
Molecule: ribosomal RNA, 253 nt
Filed under: uncultured bacterium
Lineage: Bacteria
Description: partial 16S ribosomal RNA
Rfam family: Bacterial small subunit ribosomal RNA
Source: RNAcentral